RNAcentral lists this non-coding RNA (45 nucleotides) under Trichobilharzia regenti. Lineage: Eukaryota; Metazoa; Platyhelminthes; Trematoda; Strigeidida; Schistosomatidae. The record is from RNAcentral.
AUCCAGUUGACGAGUCCCAAACAGGAGGAAAUGCGCAUCCUGUUU